UCUUUUCAACCCUUGGCGGCAGGCUUAACACAUGCAAUCGAGCGGUAACAGAUCUAGCUUGCUAGAUGCUGACGAGUGGCGGACGGGUGAGUAACGCGUAGGAAUCUACCCGGUUGUGGGGGAUAGCCCAGAGAAAUUUGGAUUAAUACCGUAUACGGUCUACGGACCAAAAAGGGCCUCUGUUUUUGUUUACAAUACCAAGCUAUCGCAACCGGAUGAGCCUGCGUGAGAUUAUCUAGUUGGUGAGGUAAAGGCUCACCAAGGCGACUGAUAUCUAUCUGGUCUGACAGGAUGAUCACACCACUCUGGGACUGAAACAUCGCCCACUACUCCUAUGGGAAGCAGGGGUGGGGAAUAUUGCACAAUGGGCGCAACCCUGAUCCAGCCAUGCCGCGUGUGUGAAGAAGGCUUUCGGGUUGUAAAGCACUUUCAGCGAGGAGGAAAGGGAGCAGGUUAAUACUCUGUUUCUGUGACGUUACUCGCAGAAGAAGCACCGGCUAACUCCGUGCCAGCAGCCGCGGUAAUACGGAGGGUGCAAGCGUUAAUCGGAAUUACUGGGCGUAAAGCGCGCGUAGGUGGCAAAGUCAGUCAGAUGUGAAAGCCCCGGGCUUAACCUGGGAACUGCAUCUGAUACUGCUUCGCUAGAGUAUGGUAGAGGGGUGUGGAAUUUCCUGUGUAGCGGUGAAAUGCGUAGAUAUAGGAAGGAACACCAGUGGCGAAGGCGACACUCUGGACCAAAACUGACGCUGAGGUGCGAAAGCGUGGGGAGCAAACGGGAUUAGAUACCCCGGUAGUCCACGCCGUAAACGAUGUCUACUAGCCGUUGGGAGACUUGAUCUCUUAGUGGCGCAGCUAACGCGAUAAGUAGACCGCCUGGGGAGUACGGUCGCAAGAUUAAAACUCAAAUGAAUUGACGGGGGCCCGCACAAGCGGUGGAGCAUGUGGUUUAAUUCGAUGCAACGCGAAGAACCUUACCAGGUCUUGACAUCCUGCGAACUUUCUAGAGAUAGAUUGGUGCCUUCGGGAACGCAGUGACAGGUGCUGCAUGGCUGUCGUCAGCUCGUGUUGUGAAAUGUUGGGUUAAGUCCCGUAACGAGCGCAACCCUUAUCCUUAUUUGCCAGCACGUAAUGGUGGGAACUCUAAGGAGACUGCCGGUGACAAACCGGAGGAAGGUGGGGACGACGUCAAGUCAUCAUGGCCCUUACGACCUGGGCUACACACGUGCUACAAUGGGAGGUACAGAGGGACGCGAAGCCGCGAGGUGUAGCUAAUCCCAGAAAACCUUUCGUAGUCCGGAUUGGAGUCUGCAACUCGACUCCAUGAAGUUGGAAUCGCUAGUAAUCGUGAAUCAGAAUGUCGCGGUGAAUACGUUCCCGGGCCUUGUACACACCGCCCGUCACACCAUGGGAGUGGAUUGCACCAGAAGUAGUUAGUCUAACCUUCGGGAGGACGAUUACCACGGUGUGGUUCAUGACUGGGGUGAAGUCGUAACAAGGUAGCC
This 1502-nucleotide ribosomal RNA is filed under the name uncultured prokaryote. RNAcentral describes it as "partial 16S ribosomal RNA". It matches the Rfam family "Bacterial small subunit ribosomal RNA". The record is from RNAcentral.